GAGUUUGAUCUUGGCUCAGAUUGAACGCUGGCGGCAUGCCUUACACAUGCAAGUCGAACGGCAGCAUGAUCUAGCUUGCUAGAUUGAUGGCGAGUGGCGAACGGGUGAGUAAUACAUCGGAACGUGCCCUGUAGUGGGGAUAACUAGUCGAAAGAUUAGCUAAUACCGCAUACGACCUGAGGGUGAAAGUGGGGGACCGCAAGGCCUCAUGCUAUAGGAGCGGCCGAUGUCUGAUUAGCUAGUUGGUGGGGUAAAGGCCCACCAAGGCGACGAUCAGUAGCUGGUCUGAGAGGACGAUCAGCCACACUGGGACUGAGACACGGCCCAGACUCCUACGGGAGGCAGCAGUGGGGAAUUUUGGACAAUGGGCGAAAGCCUGAUCCAGCAAUGCCGCGUGUGUGAAGAAGGCCUCGGUUGUAAGU
Molecule: ribosomal RNA, 422 nt
Filed under: uncultured microorganism
Description: bacterial SSU rRNA
Rfam family: Bacterial small subunit ribosomal RNA
Source: RNAcentral